AGAAAUCUGUGUUCUUUUUCACUUUUGUGCCUUUGCUUUUUUGUCCUUUUCUUUUUGGACUUGUUGGUGAUUCUCAGCUGCAGACAGCUUUAGAGAAUUUCACUUGCUGAAGACACCAUCACCGACUGGUAUUGCAAACGACCAACUUGUGUCUGGACCUCUGCAAAUUAGACAACCAAUCACUCAUCAGUCAAGUUACAAAUCAAGAAUGACCUGACAAACUGACUGUGAACUGAUG
Molecule: long non-coding RNA, 238 nt
Filed under: Oreochromis niloticus (Nile tilapia)
Lineage: Eukaryota; Metazoa; Chordata; Actinopteri; Cichliformes; Cichlidae
Description: lncRNA (ENSONIG00000028814.1)
Source: RNAcentral